CCCUACAGAUGUCAACAAUGAAAAUGAAACAAACCAAUCAGUGGAUCAAAUUAAAAGUUUUGGUAAAAGAAAACAGUUGCAUAUACAUGCUAACAAGAAAGGACUUACAUGAAGAAGUGUUGUACAACUAUGAGAAUGGAAGGAGGAUUUGGUGUUUAAUUGAGGAAAUGGAUAAAAAAUUGGUAUGUGUCGAGCAACUAUAGCCACCUGAUAGAAGGGUAAAUUAGAAAGUUCAGAUUACAUUAUGCCAACAGAGAUGAUAACAAUGCCAACCAAGCUAAAAGUUGUCCAGGAAAACUUUUGUAUUGGAGACAAGACAAGUUAAUGACUUAAUGAUAGACUCACUGCAGAGAGAGAUGUUGGAAAAGUGGAUUUUGUUAACAAAAGGAAGAUAAGAUCAAGGCUGCCA
This is a long non-coding RNA of Saccostrea echinata, 409 nucleotides long. RefSeq lists it as uncharacterized. The transcript is spliced from 4 exons. The record is from RefSeq and is a predicted model, not a curated record. Lineage: Eukaryota; Metazoa; Mollusca; Bivalvia; Ostreida; Ostreidae.